Molecule: long non-coding RNA, 582 nt
Filed under: Ixodes scapularis (black-legged tick)
Lineage: Eukaryota; Metazoa; Arthropoda; Arachnida; Ixodida; Ixodidae
Description: uncharacterized LOC115315083
Source: RNAcentral
UCCUCCACAUUCCUCGUUUCCGUGCGGACACCUUCGAGGCGUUCGCCAGCGGUGACCGUAGUCUGCUGUACCGACGCUUCUGCUUCCCGUCGCCGACGGGACCGAGCGAGGGACCCGCGAAAAAGUCCUGGUCCUAGUCUCAGCAGCUGGACUGCUGCAUCCUGCAAGGCAGAAAGGAUCCUGAGGGACUGCACUGUCGAGAUGAAUCUCCCUGGUCGUGGAGGAGCCAGUACCGUUGGAUACUUUCGACUCUGCCGUCCCCUACUGCAGCAGCGAGGUGCCAUACAACUGCAUAUUUCCUGCUCCCAGCAGCACGCCAGACUCUGAGGCGACAUACUCUCCAUCCAACCCUGCCAAAGGUUUCGAGAGACAUCCUGAAGAGGCUACACCUUGGCAAAGCAGCUCUCCUGUUGGUCUUUAAUAAAUGGGGCUUUCAUCGAGGAGGUAGACUGGAACUGUAUAAACCAAACCCAGGCAACUGUGCAUGACAGCACAAACAUUUAGCACAAGUUCGAUGCCAUUCAGACUUACAGAGCUAAACAUAUUUUCCAGUCUACACUACGGUUUCCCCUCCCAUCUGCA